AUGAGGCUUCCCUGGGAUGAGAUGGAGACGAGGGCACUGAAUGACUUUGAGUUAGGGGGACUCAAGAGGGUGAGGGCACCAUGAUCAUUACCCCUUCAGUCUCCUGUCUCCCUCUUGGCGGAAUCACACUAGGGGUAUCUUCAAAGGUCUGAGACAGAAGUCUUCCUUCUUGGGUUCUUGGUGUGGAGGCUGGUGAUGUUUUUGAGACACCAUAAUAUUUGUAGCAUUGGCGAUGCCUUGCCUAGACAAACCACAGAAGACUAGACUGACCUCUGCAUGGGCAGCAGUGUCUGAACUCUCAUCACCCAAGAACUCGCCAACACAGCGCUACUGGGUAUUCCUGACCCUCCAGCAGCCCAGAGCAGACGAGAAAGCCCCCAGCAGAGGGGUUUAGUUCCCUCUCCC
Molecule: long non-coding RNA, 405 nt
Filed under: Homo sapiens (human)
Lineage: Eukaryota; Metazoa; Chordata; Mammalia; Primates; Hominidae
Description: non-protein coding lnc-CD83-3:7
Source: RNAcentral